Molecule: long non-coding RNA, 339 nt
Organism: Lonchura striata (white-rumped munia)
Lineage: Eukaryota; Metazoa; Chordata; Aves; Passeriformes; Estrildidae
Source: RefSeq, a predicted model, not a curated record
CGUCGGAAGGCUCGAAUUCAGGGCGAAACCUCUCCCCCGAGGCUCCCUCGGUGUGAAGCAGAUGGAUCCUGGAGCCCAUCCCAGGCUGUAACUCUUGUUCAGGAGCCAGACAGGAAAACUGCAGGCAAACCAGACCCACAUCUCCCAACCUGGACAUCUGCAUGCCAGCCUGGGAGUCACUCAGGUUACAUCACCCUGCAGACAGGAGCCUGUAGCCGGAGUUUUAAAAGGAAGAUGGAAAUGAGGUGAAGAAGGUGGGAGACAUUUUCAUAUGGAUGUGGGGAAGCAUUCAGCAGUGUCACGGAGUGAUCUAUGGCUAUUGCCGACACAGGCCAGGCA